This 1789-nucleotide long non-coding RNA is filed under the name Androctonus crassicauda. The record is from RNAcentral. Lineage: Eukaryota; Metazoa; Arthropoda; Arachnida; Scorpiones; Buthidae.
UUUUAUGAUUUUCAUGGACUAAACAUGGUGUGCAAUAGCAUGUUCCAUGGCAGUUUUGGUUUUUCUUGAUAUCUACUAUCACUCUUCUGAGUUUUAUCACUGCUUCAACAGAAUACUGUGUGUGUGUACAUACAUAUACAUACACACAUAUGUGGGAGGACCAUGACAAAUAUGAUUUAUAAUUUUGUUAUGUGAAAUAAUUAAAUUGUUGAACAAAGAAAUUGUAGAGGGGAGAAAACAAUUCUAAGAAUGAAAAUAAAAAUAAGCAUUGACUGAGUUGCACUGCCCUGCACAGAACUUCAUUUCUAGCAUCAUAAAUCUCAAAGACAAAACAAGGAUUAUAUAUUGUGGAUGAGAGGUCAUGUUUAUGUAGGUGUUCUAGGAAUAAUGCAGCAGAGCAGGACCACAGAAAGAAAUAAUAAACAAAGUCUGGAAUGCAUCGAAGCCUGGGGAUUUUAAGUGAAAUAUCACAUUUUAGUCCUGGACUCUAGAAUGUUAAAUAGAGGAUUGGCCACCAGCAUCUGGGGAGAAUGGACAAAAGAAGGCAGAGAGAAAGAGAACGGAUGAAAGGAGAGAGACUUUCUUCAGUCAAACAGAAGCAAGGAUUGUUCCACAGACCGGUCUGCUCCUUUCACCAUAGGACCCAACACAAUUAUUAUUCAAGUCUUGCAUACUCCAGAAACUUUCUGACUUUCAAAAAAUUCAAGAGUCAACUUUUAGGAGUAAUAGACCAAGUGUUGUCUGUAUCACAUCUGCAAAGGAAAGGAGAAAGAGAACUUGAUAGAUAUCCCUACUGAUGGUUUUACAACCACCAUCCCAUUCCUCUAACUUCACUAGACAAUCAGAUAGCUAGAUCCCAACUGUUAAAAGAGGAAGAAUAAUUUCUGCAUUGAGGCAUCAAAUUCCUGAUGGGAGUUGUGCACUGUUCUUUAUUGUCCUAGAAGAAAACCCCUGGAAACCAUGGACUUGUUACUGCCUACAAAAAAGUCCCCAGUGAACAAAGAAUAGACAGUAUGUGUAGUGACCAUUGAACAGUCAGUGUUGUCAAUAAUGAACUGUUAAGAAUCGUUGAAGCUCUUCUUGAAUUAUCAGGUAUUUAUUCUCUCCUUACGGGACAUAUCAUCAUGACUCUCUCUUUCAUCAAACCUCAAAUAAAGAUCCAAGGUGUUGACCAUACGAGUUGUUUCUCAUUGUGUUCCUGAGUCUCCCUCAUCCUUAUUCACACUACAGCCCGCAUGCUAUUGCUCAUAAGGUGUACUGCCUGUUUGUCAUUAUUAUCCUAUGCUGAUAUUGACUGGUGUCAGAAUCCUGAUUUAAUCCAUGUAAGGCUAAAGCCUGUGCAAUUGUAUUGCCCGCUGGGAUUUCACAUAUAUAACUAAUAUAACGUGUAUUGAUAUAUAAUAAUAAAAUAUAAAUUAAGAUACAAAAAUAGCAUAACAUAAAUUGAAGACAAAUAACAUAGAAAAGUUAAGCUAACCAAAUAACUUAAAAAAGCUAAUGAAAUUAACAAAGAAAGCUAAGCAAAAAAAAUCUAAUUCUAACUUUAAUUGGGGGCUGUAGGUUAGUUUAGUGAAACCCAUAAAUUUAACUAUGAAAAUCCUUUCUGUUUCUUCUUCAUAUGUUCUUUAGUUCUAUUGCUGAAUAAAACUUGAUAGUCCAAUACAAAUAUAAGAGAGAAAGACAAUAAAAGAGAGAGAAGCUAGAGAGAGUUUAUGAAGAGGUUAACUUUGACCUAUCCUAUUUAUUAUUUUAUUAUGCUCUUAUUAUCGUUAUAUUCAUUAUUGUUUAA